Molecule: small nucleolar RNA, 139 nt
Organism: Tachyglossus aculeatus (Australian echidna)
Lineage: Eukaryota; Metazoa; Chordata; Mammalia; Monotremata; Tachyglossidae
Source: RefSeq, a predicted model, not a curated record
UCCCUCUCAGGGUUGCACCUGGAGAGUUUCCAGUACUCUACCAGUCUCAAACUAUGGGAGGGAGAGUCAAGCAGAGUGACACUCAUUUCAUUCUAGCUUGGGCAGUGGCUAGUUGAGUGGAAGGCAAUCUGCUACAAGA